GGAAAGCAAAAUGCUUUAUCAUAAUGAACCAAAUACUCAAGCCAAGGGAAUUGCUUAUACCAACUACCAUUAAAUCGACGCAUUUGAUUCCUUUCGAAGUGUGAUGGAUAUUCAUUUAAUUUUGGUUGACAUGGCCCUAACAUAAUGUAUGCUCUUCGAACAUUAUUAUGUUGAUUAGGUAGAAAUGUAUCAAUUUGAGGACGUAAUCCUGGAUCACAC
Molecule: long non-coding RNA, 219 nt
Filed under: Prunus persica (peach)
Lineage: Eukaryota; Viridiplantae; Streptophyta; Magnoliopsida; Rosales; Rosaceae
Description: long non-coding RNA (PPER_LNC005943)
Source: RNAcentral